Molecule: long non-coding RNA, 6048 nt
Organism: Helianthus annuus (common sunflower)
Lineage: Eukaryota; Viridiplantae; Streptophyta; Magnoliopsida; Asterales; Asteraceae
Exons: 2
Source: RefSeq, a predicted model, not a curated record
AGAUGACGAUGCGUGCAAACUAUGGGGUGUUGAUAAAGGCCCUACAAAUGUUAUGAUACACACUGAAGAUGGCCGAGUAUUUAAUGUUUCUUUAAGCGCUUCUAAAGGAAAGUUAUUCUUUUUCCAUGGUUGGUCCAAUGUUGUAGAACAUUUGUGACUAACCAAAGGCUGUUUGGUAGUAUUUAAUCCUGCAGAUUCUACUAUGUUUAAAUUAACAUAUUUCAUCGAUGGGGUUAGUCGUGGCUCUUUCUGGACAUAUCUGCUCCCUCCAUCAUCUCAUUUUUAUGUCAUUCCUGAAUGUAUUCUGCCAAAAAUUUAUGAUUAUUCCUCAAAUGAUGUAAUCUCUACUGUAAUUAUAGACAACAAAACGUUUAACGUUGCCAUUGAAACGUCUGACGGUAAAGUCGGUUUUACCGUUGGUAUUGACAUAAUUGUUAGUUAGUUACAGUUGGAGGUUGGUUGUUUUUUGUUAUUUACAAAAGCUUUUGGUAAUUUUUUCCAUUUAAAAAUUUUUGGGAAAAAUGGUGUUAAAAUGAAUUUUCCUGAUGUAGAUGUCGAUGAGGUAAGUUACGUUUUGGUACUUAUUUAUAUAUUUGAUAUAUGCUAAUGUAACACAUGUUAUAUAUUUAAUUUAGAGGCUGAAGUUGCACCUAUCGAUGCUGAAAAUGAAAUUGAUGAACAAAUACAUGGUGGUGUUCGUCGGUUUGUUCGUAUGGCCGGUGAAGAUUAUUUUGUAAGUUUUAAUAUCAUUUUACAAACUUCUAAAAAACAAGUGUUCCAAUUUUUUUUACUUAAUAAACGUUGUUCUUUUUAGUUUCAUAUUUAUUAUUAAUUUUAUUUUUACAACAAUACAGAGGCUUCCUGAUCCUGUUUCACAGAUGACUAAAUUUGAUGAAGGUUUAAAAGAUAUCACUGUCAGACUUAUGCAUCUGGAUCCGCCACAGCAGAUUACCAACGGUACAAGACGUGAAAGAAAAAGCAUAGGAGGUUUUCGAUACGCGUUAACCCGUUGGAAGAAGUUCAUGAAAGCCGCUCAAUUUAAGGUCCGUGACACGGUUCACUUUUCUUUUGAUGAAAAUGAGCAGGUGUUGAGUGUUGAAAUGGUUGUACCUUACGUUAGGCGUAGUUAUUAGUUAUAUGACAUUUAGGGCAUGUUUUUUGCCUUUCAUACGGUAUAUAUUAAUUUUUUAUAUGGUUAUUGGUUUUUAACAUUGGUUAUGGUUUUGAAUUUCAAGUUAUUACAUUUUUUCAUAUCUUAACUGUGCUUUUAACCACUAUAUGCCAUGUCUUGAAAGUUUAGUCUAUGUUUUUAGUAGUUUUUAUUCCCACUACACAUAUGAUAGAUCAAAAACGAUAUUGAAACAACUUUUAAAGAUAAAAAGAAAUUGAUAUAUUCGCAUAUUAAGAUUGCUGAUUAUUGUUUACAAAUAAAAUAGUGUUUAUAUAACUCAGUGUUGAAUGUGUUAUAUAUAUCUAAUAAAAUUACACGUAUCAUAGAUCAAAAACGAUAUAGAAACAACUUUUACAUAUAUAAAGAAAUUAAUAUUAAUAUAUUCAAAUAAUAAUAUUGCUGUUUAUUUUUUUAAAAUAUAUUAUCAUGGCUUUUUAAAAAUAUAUACAAAAUUUAAAUUUUAAUCAGGAAAGUCAAUCAUAUUUAUAUCUGAUUGAUAUUAUACCUUUAAGUAAAUAAAUUAACCAAAAAGAAGUUCAUAUAUUUAUUUAAAUAAUAUUUAAAUUAUUUCAAAUUUAGUUGAGUGUUUUCUUAAAUUUUAUAAGUCCUUAACUGAUGCUAAUGAUGUUAAUAAUUUCUUCAAAAAGUAUAUUCUUAUUUUAUUAUAUGUUAAUCAAUUAAGCAUUUAUCAUGAUUUAAAAUAAUCAGGAUCCCAUUCUUUCUUUUAUCUUUAUCUUUUCUGCACAAAGAGUAUAGUAUUGUUAUUAUUUAGAAGAUAGUAUUAUGAACCUUUACUACUACAUAUAGAAUAAAUAGAUAACACUAUGAUUGUCAUUUUUAAACCUUACAUUAUAGUUUUGACCUGUUACAUUAUAAGCUUUUUAUAUAAGAUUUAACAUAAAAACCUAUUUAUAUUCAUUUUAAUUAUAGAAAGUCAACUGUCACUUAAUAGGUUGCAAUUUCAAAAUUUCGUCCUUACUUUGUAAGUGAUUAAUCAUAAAAAUUUCGUCCUUACUUUACAAUUUCAAACUGAUAAUUAUGGAAACUGAUUAUUCAUAAAAAUUUAGAAAAAUCUAUUUUUUAUAUUUUAGUAAAGGUUGACAAUUAUAAUUAAAAUAAAAAAUAUCGCUACCAAAAUUAUGUGCUCCCUUUCUUCUAUAAAUAAGUCUCAUUUCUUAUCUUUUAUACACAUCACAUCUACUGACUUUGUAUAUUUCGAUAUACGUAUCUUCUGGUAUGAGUUUUGUGAGUUUCAUUGUAAUUCAUAUACUUAUUUUAUUCCUGACUUAACAUAUGAUGUUUUCCAUGUACUUUUCUUCAAAAAUUGUUUUAUAUCAUCAUCAAGUAACUUAUCUUAAUUGUUUUUAUUAAUUGCAGAGAUGGAACAGCCUGCUAUCACACUUCUUAAUAAUGUUGAUCUUAAUGUUGAUGAUUACACUAUCAGAAUCCGCAUAGUCCGGCUAUGGACAAGACCUACCUUCUACAAUCCUAGAAAGAUUUAUUACUACGACAUGAUAUUCAUGGACCAGGAGGUUUUUUUAGCCCAAUGCAUACAUUUUUUCUGAAUUUAAAAUUAAUGUGUUACUGUUUAUAAUUAAUUAUAAAACGUUGUUUUUCAGGGCACCAAAAUGUAGGCAUUUGUUUUACAGAAAAACACAACUGGUUAUGAGCAUUUGCUAAAAGAAAAUCAAUGUUUAACUAUUCGUAACCCUUCCAGGGGUGAAAAUCGUCAAAAAGUUAAAUAUGUUCAUAGUUCGUUGAAGAUCAAUCUAAAUGACAACACUACUGUCGAAGAAUGCAACGAGCCUGUUGGUGCUGAAUGGGGAUUUGAUUGUUCUCCAUUUGAUUCUGUUGUGGAUGACCCUCAUGAUGAUGGCAAGUCUUUCAAAAGCCCGAUUGGUACUUUAUUUUUAAAUUUUUUCUUCAAUUUUAUUAAUUUAAUAUUAUAUAUUAUAUGUAAUAUUAAUUUCAUUAUUUUGUAUUCUUUUGAUGUUAUUGGUUUUGUGGUUAAGUGUCUUCCGUCAGAGGAUAAAAGUGAACAUAAUAACGGCAAAGACGAGAAGAAGACUACCUUUAUUUUGGAAGAUUUGCAGUACAUUCUUUUAUAUAUAUACAUACUUUUACUUAUAUAUUUCUCCCAUUUUAUAUAUUUUUUACAACUACCAACUUACAUAUUUAAAUUUUAUUUUGUAGACACCAUCAGAUUUACGUGAUGUUAUGGGGUUGUUAUGCUGAUCAGAUUUUAGAAUUUGAGAAGAACAAUAAGGAUGAAAAAAAUGUUGUGGUCGUUGUUCAGUUUGGGAAGUACAGAUUUUGGGGGGGUAUAUUCUAUACCGACACUCUCACUUUUCAUUCAACUACAUAUUUAAUUUAUUCAAGUUGUCGUUUUAUUUACAUGUUGCUAUAAUUAAACAGGUAAUUUGUUUGUCUCCAAUUUGUAUAAUGUAACUCGAGUCUUCGUAAACUCUGAAGUAAAAGAGAUUUUGGAUUUCAAGAAAAGUUUUGUAAUCUUAUUACCUUUUUUUAUAAUAUCUUUUCAAUAUGUAUUACUUUUAUAACAUUCAUUAUUUUUCCUGUAAACUUUCCUUGCUCAGCUUACUGUUUCAACGUCUUCCGGUUAUUCUGGAUUGAGUUCUUCUGCUAUCAAGUCAACGACUGAGGAAUAUCUAUCUAAUGUUUCCUUUAGUACAAUUGGAGCAUUAAGCGAAAUCUCCGAAGUAUUGUUACAAUAAUUUAUUGUUUUAUUUUUUAUACGUAUUAUUUUUUUUCUUUCAGAAUGUUAUAAAUUAUCAUAUAUGUAUACAGCAAAAGUUUGUUAUUAUCCUGGGAACAAUUAAGAGCUUUGCUUCAGAAGAGUCAUGGUUUUACAAUGCAUGUAAGAGUUGCAACAAAAAGGUUCUUUACAACACUAUUUGCAAGGACAAGCAAGAUGGAAGUGAAGGAUAUGAUGAAGUAACUGUCUUGGAAUGUCAGACUGAUCGUUGCAAUAAAAGGACCGUUGUGUCUGUUCCCAGGUUAACUUAGUUGAUUCAUUUAUUGUCCUAAACAUAUUAAAUGAUUGUUAACAAAUUCUUAUUUAAAAUUUUGACAGGAUAAAAGUUCAAAUUCGUGUUCAGGAUUGUAUCGGAAUUGUCACUUUGACAUUGUUUGAACGUGAAGUUCUUAAACUGUUAAAGGUUAACGCAAACCAGCUUUUGGAUAAAAACAUUGAGGUAAGUUAUAUCGUCGUAAUAAGAUUUUGUUACUUCCUUUAUACAUUUUAAUGUUUAUAUUUUAAACUGGUAUCUUUAUAAAUUAUGUCUCGAAGUUAUGCAAUAUGACACUCUUAAUGUUUAUCCAACAGUUAGCCAGCGAUAGCGAUGGUAACUUUCCCAAGGAGCUGAAGGCAUUGUUAAAUCGCCGGUUUGCGUUUAAGAUAACCAUAGGUUCGUUUAACAUAAAAAACAAAUCAGAUGGCUACUCGGUGUCGAAGUUGACUGAAAAUCCUUCAAUCAUUGCUGAUCUUGAUAGGCAUUUUGAUGACUUCCAGGUUCGACAUACCUUCAAUACGUUAGUUGUACUUUUUUAUUAUAAAAUCUUAUAGCACGUUACAAUGUUUAUUGAAAUAUAUGAGAUAAAUACAGCCUGCUGAUGAUGAACCUUUAAAUGCUGUUCCGUCUGAUUCAAAUGCAACUGGUAACUUUGAUGUUAAGGUAUGUCUUAGAAAUUAUGGAAUUCACUAUUGGUUCAAUAUUUUGUCAUUCACCUUAUUUUAUCAAUUUUUUGAACUUUUUAGUUUUUAUUUACAGGAUUAUGUAUCCCGUACUGGUGAUGAAGACACUCCGGUGUCUGAUGUGAACAAAAGCAUGUUUAGCACACCCUCUGGAGCUGAGAUGAACUGUUCUGUGGAGAUGGUUGAAAAUCAACUUAAGCGUAAUUUGGAUGCCGUCUAUGAUGUGGAUUUAUGUUCUUCGCAGUCGUCAACUAAACCCCGUAAGAGUGACGGUGAUAAAGAUGAAGAUGUGAAUGUGAAUGCGGGGCUUUUGAAGCUAAAGAUUGAAAAGUAGUGUGCCGAAUCUAAUAGUCAUCUCAGUAUUUUACAAAACUUUUCUAUGUUUUUUUUUUUGUUUUUAUCAUAUUCAGAACAUUUUAUGGGUUUACUUGAUGUUGGUUUUUGACCCACUAUGUUAUGCCUUUUAUCUUUGUUAAGUUUAUAUUAAUAAGAGAUGACAUUAUUAAUCAGAUGUUUUGUAUGUACGUCUAUUUCUAUUUAAUUUAUGUUGUCUUUUUUUUUUCUAUGCUAUGACAUGAUGUUACUUUUUUAACGACUCUGUAUUAUGUUUUAUGUUUAUUGUGGUUUUCCAUUGUUAUAUCAAUUGAAGAUGAUAUUAUUAAUCACUAUAUUGUGGUCUGUCCUAAUAACAUUCUUAGAAUAUUAAAGUUUGAUUUAAAAUCUUAAUUCGUUUCCAUUAUUCAAAAAAAUAAAAAAAAAAAUAAGCAUAAUAUUUAUAUUAAAGUUGUAAUGUUGCCAUAUAAACCAAAUUUAUAUUUGGUAAAUAGUAAAAUAUAAGAUCUUUUCAAUGUUGAAAUUAAGCAUAAUAUUUAUAUUAAAGUUGGAAUGUUGGAAAGUCAUUUAUAUAUAGUAACUUUUUUCGGUUUUUUAAAUUUAAAUUCAAAAAUAUUAUUCAAAGUGUUGAUUUUCCAAUAUUAAGAAAUUAAUCAUUAAUAUCAUAAUGAAUAUACUUAAAUGUUUACAUUACUAAUGUUUCCUUAAAAACAAAAUUUACAACAUAUAAAUCUCUUCAUCUCAUUUCAUCUCAUUUGUAAUUUUUAGUUCAACCACUACAUCCCUUUCACUACAAGGGUUAUUGUAAGCCAGUUUGAACAAUCGAUUACUU